This 72-nucleotide transfer RNA is filed under the name Camelus bactrianus (Bactrian camel). It matches the Rfam family "tRNA". Rfam says of the family: Transfer RNA (tRNA) molecules are approximately 80 nucleotides in length. The record is from Rfam by way of RNAcentral. Lineage: Eukaryota; Metazoa; Chordata; Mammalia; Artiodactyla; Camelidae. RNAcentral also lists the same sequence under 2 other names.
GUGGGUAUAGCUCAGUGGUAGAGUGCAUGCUUAGCAUGCACAAAGUCCUGGGUUCAAGCCCCAAUACCUCCA